GAUGAACGCUGGCGGCGUGCCUAAUACAUGCAAGUCGAGCGAACGGACGAGAAGCUUGCUCCCCUGAUGUUAGCGGCGGACGGGUGAGUAACACGUGGAUAACCUACCUAUAAGUCUGGGAUAAUUUCGGGAAACCGGUGCUAAUACCGGAUAAUAUGUUGAACCGCAUGGUUCAAAAGUGAAAGACGGUCUUGCUGUUACUUAUAGACGGAUCCGCGCUGGAUUAGCUAGUUGGUAAGGUAACGGCUUACCAAGGCGACGAUGCAUAGCCGACCUGAGAGGAUGAUCAGCCACACUGGAACUGAGACACGGUCCAGACUCCUACGGGAGGCAGCAGUAGGGAAUCUUCCACAAUGGGCGAAAGCCUGACGGAGCCACGCCGCGUGAGUGAUGAAGGUCUUCGGGUCGUAAAGCUCUGUUGUUAGGGAAGAACAUAUGUGUAAGUAACUGUGCACGUCUUGACGGUACCUAAUCAGAAAGCCACGGCUAACUACGUG
RNAcentral lists this ribosomal RNA (497 nucleotides) under uncultured bacterium. Its description in RNAcentral is "partial 16S ribosomal RNA". It matches the Rfam family "Bacterial small subunit ribosomal RNA", at positions 28 to 507 of the family's 1533-position model. The record is from RNAcentral.